RNAcentral lists this non-coding RNA (104 nucleotides) under Yersinia enterocolitica. RNAcentral's name for it is "antisense sRNA RprA". It matches the Rfam family "RprA RNA". Rfam says of the family: Translational regulation of the stationary phase sigma factor RpoS is mediated by the formation of a double-stranded RNA stem-loop structure in the upstream region of the rpoS messenger RNA, occluding the translation initiation site. Clones carrying rprA (RpoS regulator RNA A) increased the translation of RpoS. The rprA gene encodes a 106 nucleotide regulatory RNA. Lineage: Bacteria; Pseudomonadati; Pseudomonadota; Gammaproteobacteria; Enterobacterales; Yersiniaceae. The record is from RNAcentral.
GGUGAAUGAAAGCAGCCAACGCAUAUGCAACUUGAAGUAUGACGGGAAUACACGUAUUGCUGUGUGUAGUCUUUGCCUGUCACCUAAGACGGGCUUUUUUUUUU